Molecule: transfer RNA, 72 nt
Filed under: Neofusicoccum parvum UCRNP2
Lineage: Eukaryota; Fungi; Ascomycota; Dothideomycetes; Botryosphaeriales; Botryosphaeriaceae
Description: tRNA-Thr (CGT) (tRNA-Thr-CGT-2-1)
Rfam family: tRNA
About the family: Transfer RNA (tRNA) molecules are approximately 80 nucleotides in length.
Source: RNAcentral
GCCCGCAUGGCUUAGUGGUACAGCGUCGCACUCGUAAUGCGAAGAUCCCUCGUUCGAUUCGGGGUGUGGGCA